Long non-coding RNA from Silurus meridionalis, 327 nucleotides. RefSeq lists it as uncharacterized. NCBI's taxonomy places the organism in Eukaryota, Metazoa, Chordata, Actinopteri, Siluriformes, Siluridae. The transcript has 2 exons. The record is from RefSeq and is a predicted model, not a curated record.
CACAGGGGUUUCUUUCUUCCUUCCGUUUCUUCUUCUUCUCUAAGCUCUCGGUGCGAAGGCCAACGACGGCUAAAGAGACAUCGUUUUUAGGAUCUGCAGAGUCACUAACUGUGAUUUAAGCCCCCAGGCUGUGUACUGUGUGAGGAUGAUGCAACCUCAUGACGUUCAUGUCGAGUGAUAAGAAUGGGCCAUGACGGAGCUGAGCUCACACGCACCUCAGGUAACGUCUUUACUUAUUGUAUUAAAGCUUGUGAUUUAAUAUAAUGUGUGUGUGUGUGUGUGUGUGUGUGUGUGUGUGUGUACACACAUUAAUAUCACACGACAGAG